RNAcentral lists this ribosomal RNA (439 nucleotides) under uncultured bacterium. RNAcentral describes it as "partial 16S ribosomal RNA". It matches the Rfam family "Bacterial small subunit ribosomal RNA", at positions 339 to 795 of the family's 1533-position model. The record is from RNAcentral.
CUACGGGGGGCACCAGUGAGGAAUAUUGCACAAUGGGGGGAACCCUGAUGCAGCAACGCCGCGUGGAGGAUGACGCAUUUCGGUGUGUAAACUCCUUUUAUAUGUCAAGAAAAUGACGGUAGCAUAUGAAUAAGCACCGGCUAACUCCGUGCCAGCAGCCACGGUAAUACGGAGGGUGCAAGCGUUACUCGGAAUCACUGGGCGUAAAGGACGCGUAGGCGGGUUGGAAAGCCAGGUGUGAAAUCCUACAGCUUAACUGUAGAACUGCACUUGAAACUUCUAAUCUAGAGUAUGGGAGGGGGAGAUGGAAUUAGUGGUGUAGGGGUAAAAUCCGUAGAUAUCACUAGGAAUACCUAAAGCGAAGGCGAUCUCCUGGAACAUUACUGACGCUAAGGCGUGAAAGCGUGGGGAGCAAACAGGAUUAGAUACCCGGGUAGUC